GACUCUGUAGCUCAGCUGGUUAGAGCGCUGCACCGAAAUCACAGGGGCUCAGGUUCAAUUCCUGCCAGGGACC
Paramuricea clavata is the source of this 73-nucleotide non-coding RNA. The record is from the annotation of a GenBank genome assembly. Lineage: Eukaryota; Metazoa; Cnidaria; Anthozoa; Malacalcyonacea; Plexauridae.